Heterocephalus glaber (naked mole-rat) is the source of this 1056-nucleotide long non-coding RNA. RefSeq lists it as uncharacterized. The record is from RefSeq and is a predicted model, not a curated record. NCBI's taxonomy places the organism in Eukaryota, Metazoa, Chordata, Mammalia, Rodentia, Bathyergidae.
GAGGACGGGGUGGGGCCGGGCAGGGCCUGAGGCCGGGCCGACUGGUGUAGGACCCCGGGCUGGGCUGGGAGAGCCCACAAAGGGCGUGGAGAUUGCCUGAGAGACAGCCCGGCUCUGACUGCUCGCCCUGCGGUGUAGCCUUGAGGAAGUUCCUCGGGGAUGUUGUGUUGCUUCGGUUUCCUCUUCGGAAAGAGAGAGAAUACUUGGGUCAAGUUUCUUCCCGAGCUCAGGCGCUCCGUCAGCACAAAGGGUGGUGUUACUACUCUGUUUUACGGGUGGAGAAACUGAGGCUCAGAGUGCUGAAGAACCCUGCCAAGGCCACUCUGAAGGCGAUGAAAAGGUCGAGGGGACACACGACAAGCUGCCCACGACAGAAGAUGGCAGGCUGCAGAGAGGCCACUGCGUUCAGCUUCCUCUCAGAGUCAGGGGAAAUGAGGAUCACCAGGCUGGCUCUGAGUGCUACAUGCAAACUGGGAAACCCACCAUCUGAGGAGGAGAGUGACGGGAAGAGAAAGGAACUCCAAACUUAGCAAAGGUAAACCCUAAAUUGGGCUCUUGGACAGAACUUGCUUUGAAGAGCUUCAGGUCACCAUCUUGGAUGUAAUGCCAGGAGCUGCAGCAGCCACAUUACGAGUAUAAUGUUGGACAAGCAUAAAGACAGAAAACCAAAGUGACAUAACAGGAAGGAAGAACAGAAAGACCUGGUCCUUGAUGACACAUAUGACUGACUGACUUGACACCACCAACAGCUUUCCUCUAACUUAUGUGGAGUCGGUUUCUGGGCCAUGGGCCCUGCAGGGCCUGGCUGAGGCCUCAGGUGCUGAUGAUGCCGUUGGAAGGAGGAGAGUCAAGGUCAGCCUAUCUGCUUUCCUCCUGAAAGUCUGCAGCAUCGAGGGAGGGGAACCAGCCCCAGGGCUGUCCUGCCCACUUCCAGCUGACACCUUAAGGAUCACAUUCUCCAGGUCAAAAUUAGGACAUGACUCUGUCAAAGGAUUUUUUCCUCUGGCUGAGGGUACUUAAUGGAAAGUUCUAAUCAAGAAAUAAAGAUCAAAUCUG